AGUGAACGCUGGCGGUAGGCCUAACACAUGCAAGUCGAACGGCAGCACAGUAAGAGCUUGUUCUUACUGGUGGCGGGUGGCGGACGGGUGAGGAAUACAUCGGAAUCUACUUUUUCGUGGGGGAUAACGUGGGCAAAUUUACGCUAAUACCGCAUACUACCUACGGGUGACAGCACAGGAUCUUCGGACCUUGCGCGUUUGAAUGAGCCGAUGUCGGAUUAGCUAGUUGGCGGGGUAAAGGCCCACCAAGGCGACGAUCCGUAGCUGGUCUGAGAGGAUGAUCAGCCACACUGGAACUGAGACACGGUCCAGACUCCUACGGGAGGCAGCAGUGGGGAAUUUUGGACAAUGGGCGCAAGCCUGAUCCAGCCAUACCGCGUGGGUGAAGAAGGCCUUCGGGUUGUAAAGCCCUUUUGUUGGGAAAGAAAAGCAGCAGGUUAAUACCCCGCUGUUCUGACGGUACCCAAAGAGUAAGCACCGGCUAACUUCGUG
RNAcentral lists this ribosomal RNA (492 nucleotides) under uncultured bacterium. Its description in RNAcentral is "partial 16S ribosomal RNA". It matches the Rfam family "Bacterial small subunit ribosomal RNA", at positions 29 to 507 of the family's 1533-position model. The record is from RNAcentral.